Molecule: ribosomal RNA, 255 nt
Filed under: uncultured bacterium
Lineage: Bacteria
Description: partial 16S ribosomal RNA
Rfam family: Bacterial small subunit ribosomal RNA
Source: RNAcentral
UACAGAGGGUGCGAGCGUUGUCCGGAAUCACUGGGCGUAAAGGGCGCGUAGGCGGCCCGGUAAGGUUGCGGUGAAAGCCCGGGGCUCAACCCCGGGUCGGCCGUGGCAACUGCUGGGCUGGAGCACAGUAGAGGCGGGUGGAAUUCCGGGUGUAGCGGUGGAAUGCGUAGAGAUCCGGAAGAACACCAGUGGCGAAGGCGGCCUGCUGGGCAGUUUUGCUGACACUGAGGCGCGACAGCGUGGGGAGCAAACAGG